This 187-nucleotide small RNA is filed under the name Martinezella lusitana. Lineage: Bacteria; Pseudomonadati; Pseudomonadota; Alphaproteobacteria; Hyphomicrobiales; Rhizobiaceae. The record is from RNAcentral.
CAAGUCCAUUGCGAUGAAGGAGCAGCGAUCCACAUCGGCCCCGAGUCAUGCGCGGGCAGUCGUGAGGCUCUACGUGAAGUGUCGACAGGGGAGCACCGAAUAAAGCGGAAGCGAGGGCAGCGAAGACUACGCCGUAGAGGGGAGGAAAUGAAUACCAGCUCUUGGCGACUCGGAAUAUCUUGGAAAA